This is a long non-coding RNA of Mytilus californianus (California mussel), 2177 nucleotides long. RefSeq lists it as uncharacterized. NCBI's taxonomy places the organism in Eukaryota, Metazoa, Mollusca, Bivalvia, Mytilida, Mytilidae. The record is from RefSeq and is a predicted model, not a curated record. The transcript is spliced from 2 exons.
CCGAACAUUUACAGGUAAAUUGUUUAUAGCAGAAGAUACGCUUGGAUUUUAAAAGAACCUUGACAUCAAAAUGGAAAAAGAUAAGAAAAUUAUAAAAGAAAAAAGAGCUUGGGUUAACAAACAGAUUGGAGCUGCUGUGGUACUCACAACAGUAGUUUUUAUAACUAUAUUUUAUUACAGUCCAUUCUCCGUUAAAGGUGUGAACACCACCGCUGAUCGUUUGGUAUUCACUUUCCGUUGUCUCUUCGUGUCAUCUUUUCCCAUUAUAUUCGGAAUUCAUACUGUAGGAUCAGUCCGAGGAAGUACAAAAGCAAUAGAUCCUGUGAAUGGAGGAGGAGAAUCUUUGGUUGAAGUGCCAAACCGGAUAUUACGAAAUACAGUGGAACAGUUCUUUCUUCAUAUGAUCGGACUUUUGACUCUAUCCACUUUUCUCGACGAGGGAUCAAUGAAAGUUAUUCCAAUACUGACAUUUAUUUUUAUUCUUGGAAGGAUUUUAUUUUAUUUUGGGUAUACUUAUGAUCCAAUAUAUAGAGGGCUAGGAUUCGCCAGUACGUUUCUUCCAACAAUGGCUACUUAUGCAUACUGUUCUUUCUGUAUAUUGCAGACACUCCUGAUGUAAUCGUUUCAUGUGCAUGCGUAACGUAACGAGAACGGAACGUUGAGAUAUCAAAACGAACACUACCGAAUUUUCUAAAACCUUGAAUAUUUUUUCUUUGUGUGACAAAUUAGUCCCAGUAAUAUCUAUUUUAUUUUCAACAAUUUGAUGAUAUAUACAGAAAAAAAUUCCUUGCACAUAAAUUUUGCCAAAAGAAUUACAUAAUCUUCUUUACUGCAUUUCCGGUUGACCAAUUUUACUUGAAUUUCAUAUUAUAAGUUUGCAAGAAAACGACCUGGCAGAUCUUUACUUGUAUUUCAUCAUGUUAAGUUUAUGGAUUCGUGUUUCUUCUUCAACACACCAAGGUCUUUUAUUGAACAUUUGAAGGUCCCCAAAUGUAUUAUCGGGCUACCUAAACUACACAAAAAAAGCCGUCACAUAUCGUUUCAUCUUGGCUUCUAUUAAGUGUUCUACAACUGAUUAAUCUUUCUGUCAAUUUAACUAGUUCCCCGACUUCAAAUUAAGAACCAGAUUUUUUUUUUAAAUCAAAUGGUAUUGAAAAAAUAUUACAAAUCUAAUUUCUACAACUCAUAUAAAGCUUUCUUCUGGAAUUCAAUAAGUGACACUCACUGGACUGUGAUGCAAGGUUGAAUCUUGGCAACCUCUUUGAAUGUAAAAUUAGGCCUUUGGUUUUCUCCAGGCUAUUGUUUCACAUAUUGUAUCAAGCCGAAGCCGUUUAUGGCUUAUUAAACAGUAUUUGGCUUAAUAUUAGAUGACUUAUUUUUGCUUACAUUAUUGACCUUUGAUCUCAUGUGGAAAGUUUAACUGUCGCUCACCACAUUUCUUUUAUAAUUACUGCUAGGUUAUUCCAAACUUUCUCAAUAUUAAUUGGAAUGCGUUUUUUCGCACUUCUUUGAUUAUUCAAUUUCUUCUGAUAGUUUGUCAGGUUGGUUCCAUGUUCUUGCUUUUAUAAUUUUAUUGACAAAUGUUCGAAUAUUUUGCUUAAGAGUAUCGUAACAAAAUGAACCAUUACCCCUUUCCCUCCUAAAACUCGAAUUCCUACCCUCCGUACCCAAUCCAACCACUACCCCUAAAUAAAAAAAAACUAACUAACUACAAAACAUGGAAUACGAACCAAACGCACAAAAAAAUAAUAAUAAAAAAAAAGAACAAAUGAAUUAAGGCAAGUGGCUAAAAACAGAUUCAGGGAAGUGGCCUUAAGUAAGUAAACAGGUUUAACAGUUACUUUUCUACAAUAUUUGGUAAAACAGAUUUUCAUUUCAAGUACACUCGAGAUUAUUGCUGAGUUGUAUUUGAAGGCAAAUGAUUCAUUUUCUGCUUUCAACAUUUUAUAGUUGUAAUGAUGAAUUUCAUCAUUUUCUUUGUGAACAAUUUAUUUUUUACUGUUACUCCAAAUCAUGCUUAAUAAAUGCUUACAUCAUGAUUUUGCUGCAUGAGAUUGAUAGUGCAAUUGAUUAUUGCUUUUAAAUGGGUUUUCUGAUCCUACAUUGUAAUUCCAAUAACAUUGUUUUCACACUGUAACUGUAGAAUUGUAAAUAAAUACACAAAUUAAAACUCAUAA